GCGGGUGUAGCUCAGUCGGUUAGAGCGCCAGAUUGUGGAUCUGGAGGCCGUGGGUUCGAUUCCCAUCACUCGCCCCA
RNAcentral lists this transfer RNA (77 nucleotides) under Alphaproteobacteria bacterium. RNAcentral's name for it is "tRNA-His". It matches the Rfam family "tRNA". Rfam says of the family: Transfer RNA (tRNA) molecules are approximately 80 nucleotides in length. Their secondary structure includes four short double-helical elements and three loops (D, anti-codon, and T loops). Further hydrogen bonds mediate the characteristic L-shaped molecular structure. tRNAs have two regions of fundamental functional importance: the anti-codon, which is responsible for specific mRNA codon recognition, and the 3' end, to which the tRNAs corresponding amino acid is attached (by aminoacyl-tRNA synthetases). tRNAs cope with the degeneracy of the genetic code in two manners: having more than one tRNA (with a specific anti-codon) for a particular amino acid; and 'wobble' base-pairing, i.e. permitting non-standard base-pairing at the 3rd anti-codon position. The record is from RNAcentral. Lineage: Bacteria; Pseudomonadati; Pseudomonadota; Alphaproteobacteria.